UACGUAGGGUGCGAGCGUUAAUCGGAAUUACUGGGCGUAAAGCGUGCGCAGGCGGUUCGUUGUGUCGGCGGUGAAAGCCCCGGGCUCAACCUGGGAAUGGCCGUUGAAACUGGCGAACUGGUGUGUGGCAGAGGGGGGUGGAAUUCCUGGUGUAGCAGUGAAAUGCGUAGAUAUCAGGAGGAACACCGAUGGCGAAGGCAGGUCUCUGGGCUGACACUGACGCUCAUGCACGAAAGCGUGGGGAGCAAACAGG
This 253-nucleotide ribosomal RNA is filed under the name uncultured bacterium. RNAcentral describes it as "partial 16S ribosomal RNA". It matches the Rfam family "Bacterial small subunit ribosomal RNA", at positions 524 to 776 of the family's 1533-position model. The record is from RNAcentral.